This 468-nucleotide ribosomal RNA is filed under the name uncultured bacterium. RNAcentral describes it as "partial 16S ribosomal RNA". It matches the Rfam family "Bacterial small subunit ribosomal RNA", at positions 28 to 507 of the family's 1533-position model. The record is from RNAcentral.
GACGAACGCUGGCGGCGUGCUUAACACAUGCAAGUCGAACGGAAAGGCCCUGCUUUUUUGGUGUGCUCGAGUGGCGAACGGGUGAGUAACACGUGAGUAACCUGCCCUUGACUUUCGUAUAACUUCAGGAAACUGGGGCUACUACCGUAUCGGAGCUCCUGCUCCAUGGUGGGGGUUGGAUAUUUUCGGCUGUUGGGGAUGGACUCGCGGCUUAUCAGCUUGUUGGUUGGGUAGUGGCUUACCAAGGCUUUGACGGGUAGCCGGCCUGAGAGGGUGACCGGCGACAUUGGGACUGAGAGACGGCCCAGAGUGCUACGGGAGGCAGCAGUGGGGAAUAUGGCACAAUGGGCGGAAGUCUGAGGAAGAAACGUCGCGGGCGGGAUGACGGCCUGCGGGUUGUAAACAGCUGUCGCCUGUGACGAAGCGGGAGUGACGGUAAUGGGUAAAGAAGCACCGGCUAACUACGUG